Molecule: long non-coding RNA, 2366 nt
Filed under: Monodelphis domestica (gray short-tailed opossum)
Lineage: Eukaryota; Metazoa; Chordata; Mammalia; Didelphimorphia; Didelphidae
Description: lncRNA (ENSMODG00000031236.2)
Source: RNAcentral
AUUUAAUAAAAGUGUUGGCAUUAAAACUUCUUUAAUUCGUUUUCAGGACCUUGAAAAAACUUCUAAUAUAAAGUACUUACAUUAUUCAUGAGUUAAGAGAAAGUUGUAAUUUGAAAGGAGAAAAUAAAAUAGGUGUUUUCCCCUUUCUGAGUUACCCUUCAAAAUUCUUGGGAUCAUACUAUAUUCAGGGUCGUAUUAUAUUCUGGCUAAUAUGGUACCUCAUCAACCUUUGACUUAGUUCAGUCACCCAGUGUGGAAGAGGUAUGCAUGCAAAGAACAGAAGCUGGAGAUGGGUCAUCUGUCAGUCAAAUGAAGAUUCCAUUUGGAAUGUGACUGGGAAACAGUUGGAGGCAAGAGUCAACGGCUUGACUGGAUUUUAAGGUCUUUGGGCUUUCAGCCUCUUCCACACCAAUCAGCUUCGACUACAGCUCAAAAUUCCCGAGCUCAGGUGAUCUCUUGGCCCAUACCUCUCCAGUAGUAGGCACUAUAGUUCACUUGAUCUAGACCAUCCUUGGUGAUUUGUUGAAAGAAAAGAUCUCAAAAUGUCACUGAAAAGGUACAGACUGACAUCUGACAUUAAGUGGGACUUAAAAGGAUUAUCUAACUCUAAGUCAGAGGGAACCCUGGAAAGAGACAAUGCUCUUGGUGAUCAAAAAAAGAUUUUUAAAAAGAGGAAGGCUGUGCAGCUUGCAUCUACAUACUCUAGAAAAACCUGGAAGUUCACAACAAACAAACACAGGUAUCCCAUAUUUUAGGGGUUAGAUGCUCCAUGCCCCCGCAGUCUGGAAAAUCCACAUAAAAUUUUUGGACCUUCCCUUCAUACCAGAGAAGAAGUCUACAUUUUUUUCUUUUUCUUUCUUGGGGUGAUUAGAGUACCUUAUGAUAAAAUGUGGGUUAUUUCGCAUAAACUAUAUGUAACACUAUGCUUGGGACUUGUCAUUUUAAUGGAAUUUAUGGCAUUUAAAUGCCAUAAUAGAUAGAUAGGAGAAAUCCAAGAUAUAAAGAUCACUGAGCGAUCAUCAUGAGAUGUCAUGUGAGAGACUGCUGUAAAAACACUUGACAUCCCCAAACCAGCAUAUAGAAUUGCCAUUUUUUACUACAGCUUUAAUGACUGUCCUUUUAUGUUAUUAAAUAGUAAAAUAUAUACUAUAUAGGUAAUACUAUACGUAAAAUUACAUAUCUUUUAUGCAUCUAAGUUAUUAAACUUUUUAAAAUUAACUUUUUUUUAUUAAACUUUUAAAAAUAUCUUUAUGUUUCUAGCCUUUGUGUGUCAGCUGCUAGAUUUCAAGUUCUUUUUGUCAACUAACUUUUUUACUUAUUUUUAACUCUAAAAAAGAAAUUGUAGGGGGAAGCUGGGUGGCUCAGUGAUUUGAGAGUCAGACCUAGAGAUGGCCUUGGUUCAAAUCUAGCCUCAGACACUUCCUAGUUGUGUGAUCCUGGGCAAGUCAUUUAACCAUCAUUGCUUAGCCCUUACUGCUGCUCUUCUACCUUGGUACUAAUACACAUUAUUAAUUCUAAGAUAGAAAGGUAAGGGUUAAAAAAAGAAACUGUGUGUAUUUAUGUCAUUAAAAGACAAAAUAUGUUUACAAUUCUCUCUCUCUCUCUCUCUCUCUAUAUAUAUAUAUAUAUAUAUAUAUACAUAUGUAUGUAUGUAUGUUAUGCAUUUCUGAGCUUCUAAACUUUUUUCUAUGUCAUCUGCUGACCUUUGCAUGUCAUCUGCAGCUUUUUUAAAACUCUUCCCCAAAAUUCCCAUUUAAUUUCUUAUGCAAACAUGCAAUAUACUGAAACUGCAAUGGGAAAAGUUAUGAUGUGGAAUGGAUAUAUGCAACGACCAAGAACUUCUAUGAUAAACUAUAAAACAUCUUUGAUCUAGAACCGCAGAAAAAAUGAGUGCUCCCAGCAUGAGCAUGGCAUGGUACUUUAGCUCAAAUAUAGAGAGCCAGGGACACACGUAGCCUAGAAGGCUUGCCAUUUAGGUGGCAAUAAGAGUAGAAGGCUCCUCUGAGAAAGCUCCAGGGAGGUUACAGAAAAAGCUUCAAGGUAGGAACCUUGAAAAAGAUGGGGAGCAGUAAGAGAUUGGGAUGAAUAUGAUGGUUUAGUUCUCAGACUGGGAUAGCGCAGGUCCUGGGACUGUCAUAUCAUUAGUAUUGUCUGGAGGUGCCAGGAUGGGAGGCCCUGAAGGAGCAGGGCUCUGAACCUCAAAGAUGCAGAGGGGCUUAAAUCCCAGAAGGUGACGAUCAGAACAAGAACAUGGGAGACUCAAGACAAGACCAAGCAGGACUGAUUAUCACACUCAAAAAUACAUAGGGUCACUAUUUCAGAGACUAAAGCUGGAGAACAAAUAAACCCCACCCCAAAAUUACCCA